GUGGGGAAUAUUGCGCAAUGGGCGAAAGCCUGACGCAGCAACGCCGCGUGAGGGAUGACGGCCUUCGGGUUGUAAACCUCUUUCAGCAGGGAAGAAGCGAAAGUGACGGUACCUGCAGAAGAAGCACCGGCUAACUACGUGCCAGCAGCCGCGGUAAUACGUAGGGUGCAAGCGUUGUCCGGAUUUAUUGGGCGUAAAGAGCUCGUAGGCGGUUAGUCACGUCGGAUGUGAAAACCCGGAGCUUAACUCCGGGCCUGCAUUCGAUACGGGCUGACUAGAGUGUUGUAGGGGAGACUGGGACUCCUGGUGUAGCGGUGAAAUGCGCAGAUAUCAGGAAGAACACCGGUGGCGAAGGCGGGUCUCUGGGCAACUACUGACGCUGAGGAGCGAAAGCGUGGGGAGCAAACAGGAUUAGAAACCCGGGUAGUCC
Molecule: ribosomal RNA, 430 nt
Filed under: uncultured bacterium
Lineage: Bacteria
Description: partial 16S ribosomal RNA
Rfam family: Bacterial small subunit ribosomal RNA
Source: RNAcentral